RNAcentral lists this ribosomal RNA (555 nucleotides) under uncultured bacterium. RNAcentral describes it as "partial 16S ribosomal RNA". It matches the Rfam family "Bacterial small subunit ribosomal RNA", at positions 354 to 900 of the family's 1533-position model. The record is from RNAcentral.
GUAGGGAAUCUUCCACAAUGGACGCAAGUCUGAUGGAGCAACGCCGCGUGAGUGAAGAAGGUUUUCGGACCGUAAAGCUCUGUUGUUGGUGAAGAAGGAUAGAGGUAGUAACUGGCCUUUAUUUGACGGUAAUCAACCAGAAAGUCACGGCUAACUACGUGCCAGCAGCCGCGGUAAUACGUAGGUGGCAAGCGUUGUCCGGAUUUAUUGGGCGUAAAGCGAGCGCAGGCGGAAGAAUAAGUCUGAUGUGAAAGCCCUCGGCUUAACCGAGGAAUUGCAUCGGAAACUGUUUUCUUGAGUGCAGAAGAGGAGAGUAGAACUCCAUGUGUAGCGGUGGAAUGCGUAGAUAUAUGGAAGAAUACCAGUGGCGAAGGCGGCUCUCUGGUCUGCAACUGACGCUGAGGCUCGAAAGCAUGGGUAGCGAACAGGAUUAGAUACCCCGGUAGUCCAUGCCGUAAACGAUGAGUGCUAAGUGUUGGGAGGCUUCCGCCUCUCAGUGCUGCAGCUAACGCAUUAAGCACUCCGCCUGGGGGAGUACGACCGCAAGGUUGAAAC